GAGAGAGACUGUGGCCAUUUGCCUACCACUAGUUCACAACAACUCGCUUUUCCUCGUUGAGAUGGAAAAUGAGCCUUUUCUGGCCUCCCAAACAAGGCCCCAGCCCCAGUCCUCCCAGCUCCAACCCAUUCUUGAACACCAUGAUCUCUCUUUCACUCUCCCUCAGUCUCUUUCCGGCCCAUUCAUAUUCCCUGAAAUCCAGGACCACCCACAAGAGCAACCCUCUUCUACCCCCGGAGCUCCGGCCGACCACAGAUGGAAACCGAGUUCUCUCCAUCGCUCGAAGACGGCUCCAGCCAUGGUCGUCAUGCAAGACUUGAAACCAGAAUCAACCCAAGAUCCCAAGCCACAAUCUGACAACGACUCCAUUAUCAGGCAAGCCAUUUUCCUGCUUUCUAUGUAUUUACUUAUCGGCGUGGUUAUCUACUCUUUUAACAGAGAUAACUUCUCCGGUGUAGAAACCCACCCGGUUGUCGAUGCCCUCUAUUUCUGCAUAGUAACUAUGUGUACCAUUGGCUAUGGUGAUAUCGCUCCUUUGACACCUGAAACAAAAGUCUUUGCGUGCGUCUUUGUAUUGGUAGGUUUUGGAUUCAUAGACAUAUUACUUAGUGGGUUGGUUAACUAUGUUCUUGAUUUGCAAGAGAGCAUGAUCUUGGCUGGGAUUCAGAUGGGUAAAGCCCACCACCAAGGAUUUUCAGCUAGGAAUUACAUUGUCGAUGUUGAAAAGGGGCGGAUGAGGAUACGAUUGAAGGUUGGUUUGGCACUUGGCGUGGUUGUUUUGUGUAUUGGAAUCGGUAUGUUGGUUCUGUACUUUGUAGAGGAUCUGGAUUGGAUUGAUUCGAUCUAUUUGGCAGUUAUGUCAGUUACUACAGUUGGUUAUGGUGAUAGAGCUUUUAAGACUCUGCCCGGGAGGCUGUUUGCAGCUAUUUGGCUUUUGGUUUCUACGCUGGCGGUGGCAAGGGCGUUUCUUUACUUGGCAGAGGCUAGGAUUGAUAAGAGGCACAGAAGGAUCACCAAGUGGGUUUUACAUAGGGAGAUUACCGUUGAGGACUUGCUUGCUGCUAAUAUCAAUAACAAUGGUUUCAUUAGGUGCGGUUCUGUCUUGAUCCCUACUAAUUUUUCUUGAUUAAUUGUUGUGCAAUUUCCAGUUCCAGCAAUUGUUUAGUUUUACUAUUUGUUGAAAAUUUGUUGAAUUAGUGAUAUCCGUUAAACAUACUUGGUGCUGCAACAACGCGAGUAUCAGAGUAUGUAGAAAUAAUGAUAGAAAUAGUUGAUUAAUUUCAGAAUUUAAAACUCGUCUUUCUAGUUCUGUGGCCAGAUUCUUAUCAUCUUUAAGGUUUGAAUUGGUUGAGCUGUUAAAUUGAGGCCAUUUGUAAGAAGCUUGUGUCUGAUGAAAAUGCUUAUUUACAGACUUGGAGACCUAGAAACACAGAGAUAGAAAGUUGUAUGAUAGAACACAUCAUGUCACAAGCUUUCCAGCUACUUUUUAGUUGCUGAAAUUUUUAGAGCCUCUUGCAACCUGAAUGAUAGAAAAGCAAUGCUUAAUUGAACAACCCAUCACAUGGCACGUGCGUAACUUGGGAUAAAUUCCAGCACACAUCUGUGUUGCCAACAACUGCUAUGCCAGUGAUUGGAGAUAAUCCUGAUGUCCAUGAAUCCAUAGUAUUUGAAGAUGAUUGUGAAUUAGUACUUGUGCCUCAAGCUUCUCUUUGUCGUUUGAUCUCAAAUGACUAGUUAUUGGUCAGAAUUUGUAGUCUUGGAUUCGUAAAUAACUAUUUUAUGCUUAAGUAUCUUUGAAUUUGGAAAGUCGAGAAUUCUUCUCUGGCCAUCAUGUACUUUGAGUGUGUAUAGGUUGAGGAUGCUAACUUAAGUAAAGGUCGAAUAGAGGUUGAUGUUUGUGAUUUCUAAUCGAGCUAUAUUGAACUAAAGUUCAUUUAUGUUUUUCUUUUAAAACUUUUCCUGCAGCAAAUCAGAAUAUGUAAUCUACAAGCUGAAAGAGAUGGGAAAGAUUGGGGAGAAAGAUAUAUUGCAGAUAUGCAAUCAAUUCAGCAAACUAGACCCCAACAACUUGGGAAAGAUAACCCUAACUGAUCUCUUGGAGAACCGUUUAUGACAAACUAUUUUAGUACGAUUUUUUUCAACAGAAGAAGCUUGGGAGGAGGACAAAGGGAAGUAAGAACCUGAGAAUCUUCAUGCAAGAAGAAAUGCUGGCAUACAUGCACAAUUGUUGUCCUAUCUAGCAAAAGACGGUAGCCGAUUAGCCAUGGCAAGCCGGUUCACGAGGAACUGUACAGCCAUGGGAGGUCACUUCUUGGUGAUAAUACAAUGAUGACAGGAGAAAAAAAGGAAUGAAAACACAAGGUUGCCUUCAUGAACUCACCCAUCCUCCAGCCCUAUGACCCAAAAUUUAGAUCUUGUGUCCUGGGACCUUGAAUUGUGUAUAACAACUUGACAAUGUGAUUAUGCAUUGAUACUGAACUAUUCCCAAGGGGAAAAUGCAAAAUGCAACCAGAAGAUUAUACAACCCAAACUUAACCCCACUCUUCAAUUUAUUUGAUGGUAGCAUCAUCAGUGUAUCAUUACAAUUCAAGACAAGGUCUAAAAGCAUCAAGG
Molecule: unclassified non-coding RNA, 2613 nt
Filed under: Hevea brasiliensis (rubber tree)
Lineage: Eukaryota; Viridiplantae; Streptophyta; Magnoliopsida; Malpighiales; Euphorbiaceae
Source: RNAcentral